GGGCGAGUGGUGAAAUGGUAGACACGCCAGACUUAGGAUCUGGUGCCGCAAGGCGUAGGAGUUCAAGUCUCCUCUUGCCCACCA
This 84-nucleotide transfer RNA is filed under the name Capsulimonas corticalis. RNAcentral's name for it is "tRNA-Leu". It matches the Rfam family "tRNA". Rfam says of the family: Transfer RNA (tRNA) molecules are approximately 80 nucleotides in length. RNAcentral also lists the same sequence under 1 other name. Lineage: Bacteria; Bacillati; Armatimonadota; Armatimonadia; Capsulimonadales; Capsulimonadaceae. The record is from RNAcentral.